AUUGAACGCUGGCGGCAGGCCUAACACAUGCAAGUCGAGCGGAUGAAGGGAGCUUGCUCCUGGAUUCAGCGGCGGACGGGUGAGUAAUGCCUAGGAAUCUGCCUGGUAGUGGGGGAUAACGUCCGGAAACGGGCGCUAAUACCGCAUACGUCCUGAGGGAGAAAGUGGGGGAUCUUCGGACCUCACGCUAUCAGAUGAGCCUAGGUCGGAUUAGCUAGUUGGUGGGGUAAAGGCCUACCAAGGCGACGAUCCGUAACUGGUCUGAGAGGAUGAUCAGGCACACUGGAACUGAGAAACGGUCCAGACUCCUACGGGAGGCAGCAGUGGGGAAUAUUGGACAAUGGGCGAAAGCCUGAUCCAGCCAUGCCGCGUGUGUGAAGAAGGUCUUCGGAUUGUAAAGCACUUUAAGUUGGGAGGAAGGGCAGUAAGUUAAUACCUUGCUGUUUUGACGUUACCAACAGAAUAAGCACCGGCUAACUUCGUG
RNAcentral lists this ribosomal RNA (484 nucleotides) under uncultured bacterium. RNAcentral describes it as "partial 16S ribosomal RNA". It matches the Rfam family "Bacterial small subunit ribosomal RNA", at positions 30 to 507 of the family's 1533-position model. The record is from RNAcentral.